CUUCACCGACCCGAGCCACAACGGGCGGUCCGCCGGCCGGCCCUGACCGUAGGUGGCCAGCAACGCCUGCGCCUC
RNAcentral lists this antisense RNA (75 nucleotides) under Micromonospora peucetia. RNAcentral's name for it is "ASpks TB sRNA". It matches the Rfam family "ASpks TB sRNA". The record is from RNAcentral. Lineage: Bacteria; Bacillati; Actinomycetota; Actinomycetes; Micromonosporales; Micromonosporaceae.